Molecule: ribosomal RNA, 162 nt
Filed under: Trichoderma atroviride
Lineage: Eukaryota; Fungi; Ascomycota; Sordariomycetes; Hypocreales; Hypocreaceae
Description: 5.8 ribosomal RNA
Rfam family: 5.8S ribosomal RNA
About the family: 5.8S ribosomal RNA (5.8S rRNA) is a component of the large subunit of the eukaryotic ribosome. It is transcribed by RNA polymerase I as part of the 45S precursor that also contains 18S and 28S rRNA.
Source: RNAcentral
AAAAUGAAUCAAAACUUUCAACAACGGAUCUCUUGGUUCUGGCAUCGAUGAAGAACGCAGCGAAAUGCGAUAAGUAAUGUGAAUUGCAGAAUUCAGUGAAUCAUCGAAUCUUUGAACGCACAUUGCGCCCGCCAGUAUUCUGGCGGGCAUGCCUGUCCGAGC